GUGAGGAAUUUUCCGCAAUGGGCGAAAGCCUGACGGAGCAAUGCCGCGUGAAGGAUGAAGGUCUAUGGGUUGUAAACUUCUUUUCUCAGAAAAGAAUUAUGACGGUAUCUGAGGAAUAAGCAUCGGCUAACUCUGUGCCAGCAGCCGCGGUAAGACAGAGGAUGCAAGCGUUAUCCGGAAUGAUUGGGCGUAAAGCGUCUGUAGGUUGUUUAAAAAGUAUUCUGUCAAAGAUUAGGGCUUAACCCUAGAUAGGCAGAAUAAACUUUUAAGCUAGAGUUUGGUAGAGGCAGAGGGAAUUCCCGGUGGAGCGGUGAAAUGCGUAGAUAUCGGGAGGAACACCAAAGGCGAAGGCACUCUGCUGGGCCAAUACUAACACUGAGAGACGAAAGCGAGGGGAGCAAAUGGGAUUAGAAACCCCUGUAGUCC
RNAcentral lists this ribosomal RNA (426 nucleotides) under uncultured bacterium. RNAcentral describes it as "bacterial SSU rRNA". It matches the Rfam family "Bacterial small subunit ribosomal RNA", at positions 354 to 796 of the family's 1533-position model. The record is from RNAcentral.